This 120-nucleotide ribosomal RNA is filed under the name Streptomyces umbrinus. RNAcentral's name for it is "partial 16S rRNA". It matches the Rfam family "Bacterial small subunit ribosomal RNA", at positions 162 to 283 of the family's 1533-position model. Lineage: Bacteria; Bacillati; Actinomycetota; Actinomycetes; Kitasatosporales; Streptomycetaceae. The record is from RNAcentral.
UCUAAUACCGGAUAACACUCCUGSCCGCAUGUGUGGGGGUUGAAAGCUCCGGCGGUGAAGGAUGAGCCCGCGGCCUAUCAGCUUGUUGGUGAGGUAGUAGCUCACCAAGGCGACGACGGG